GACGAACGCUGGCGGCGUGCCUAAUACAUGCAAGUCGAACGAACCGCGACUAAGUGCUUGCACUAAGUCAAGGUGAGUGGCGAACGGGUGAGUAACACGUGGGUAACCUACCUCAUAGUGGGGGAUAACAGUCGGAAACGACUGCUAAUACCGCAUAGGACAUGGGAUCACAUGAUUCAGUGAGGAAAGGUGGCGCAAGCUAUCGCUAAGAGAUGGACCCGCGGUGCAUUAGCUAGUUGGUAGGGUAAAGGCCUACCAAGGCGAUGAUGCAUAGCCGACCUGAGAGGGUGAUCGGCCACAUUGGGACUGAGACACGGCCCAAACUCCUACGGGAGGCAGCAGUAGGGAAUCUUCCGCAAUGGACGCAAGUCUGACGGAGCAACGCCGCGUGAGUGAAGAAGGUCUUCGGAUCGUAAAGCUCUGUUGUUAGAGAAGAACAGCGCAUAGAGUAACU
This 454-nucleotide ribosomal RNA is filed under the name Abiotrophia defectiva. RNAcentral describes it as "bacterial SSU rRNA". It matches the Rfam family "Bacterial small subunit ribosomal RNA", at positions 28 to 465 of the family's 1533-position model. Lineage: Bacteria; Bacillati; Bacillota; Bacilli; Lactobacillales; Aerococcaceae. The record is from RNAcentral.